UAAUACGUAGGGACCGAGCGUUGUCCGGAUUCAUUGGGCGUAAAGAGCUCGUAGGCGGCCACUCAAGUCGAAUGUGAAACCUCGAGGCUUAACCUCGAGCCUGCAUUCGAUACUGGGCGGCUAGAGUCUGGUAGGGGGAUCUGGAAUUCCUGGUGUAGCGGUGGAAUGCGCAGAUAUCAGGAGGAACACCGGUGGCGAAGGCGGGAUCCUGGGCCAGUACUGACGCUGAGGAGCGAAAGCGUGGGGAGCAAACAGGAUUAGAUACCCUGGUAGUCCACGCCGUAAACGAUGGGUACUAGGUGCCUGGGGGAGCGACCCUCUGGGUGCCGGCGCUAACGCAGGAAGUACCCCGCCUGGGGAGUACGACCGCAAGGUUG
Molecule: ribosomal RNA, 377 nt
Filed under: uncultured bacterium
Lineage: Bacteria
Description: bacterial SSU rRNA
Rfam family: Bacterial small subunit ribosomal RNA
Source: RNAcentral